GGGGCGGGUUCUAUUUCCUGGCUUCAAAGCCCAGUUUCCUGGUACAGCGCUGAGAGUCGCCCCAGCUGGCUAGGCCGUCCUGCUUUAGGAUUUCUACUGGCUGCAGACUGCGGGAAGCACCCGGGGAGACCCUCCAGCGACAAUGGGUUAGGACUAAGAAGAUUCUUGCUUAGUGCUGAAAGAUUUGGAUUGAGUACCUUUGUCUCACUUAACUUAUCAAUGUUGCUGAGAAGUAGACAAAUAACAUGAACUUGCCAGCAGGAAUUUAAAGGUGAGUGACUUUACACUGAGACCCUGUUAAAAAGCAAAUGGCACUGUAGCUGUCCUCAGUACAUUUUGUCCUGAAGAAUUCCCUUCCAUUACAGCCCCCUACCCCCUGCAUCUACGUGGAUUGAAAACUCUAGAAGAUCUGUAAAUGUAACAACCUUCAGACUGCUGAAAAGAAGGUUUCACUGUGUCCUGUCAUUGCCUACACACAAGUUCUUUGGCUGGCUGAAUUGCCCAUCAACAGAUGAAUGGAUAAAUAAAAUGUGGUACUUAUAUACAGUGGAUUACUAUUCUCCCAUAAAAAAGGAUAAACUUUAGACAUUUUUUAGGCAAAUACAUGCAUCUCGAGACCAUAAUUUUAAAUGAAAUAAAUCAGAUACACAAAUUUAAAUAUUGCAUUGUUUCUCUCCUAUGAGAAACCCAAAGGAUAAGUAAGGAGCAAACUGGAGAACAGAUACUGGGUAGUGGGAAAAACUUGUUGAGAUGGGAAGAGGAAUAAGGGAGGAGGAGGGAAGGAUAGGAAAAGGGGUUUAAAAAAAGAAUGGAAGAAAAAAUGGAAACAAAGCUUUUGUAAAUGCAAAGGGGAAGAAGGUUGAAGGAAGUGGAAGGGAAUGGGAAAAAAAAAAUUGAGAUGUGUUAUGUACAGGUACAAAUUCCACAUGAUGAAUGUGAUCAUUUUGUAUGGCAAACCUGUACUAAUUUUAAAAAAGCUGUGUCUUAAAAUGCAAUUUUGGCUCAUUAAUAAAGGAGCUUCUGCGGAUCAUUGCAAGAGACCAAUGAAAUUAAAAUAUUACUAACAAGAUAUGACAAAACCAUGAACCUGCUUGACUCAAUAAAACUCACUGUAAAUGCAAGUAUCUUUGACAGUGAAACUGGUGCUAAUGGAGCUACUGUUCUGUCCACUUCUGCAGUGAACACCUUGGAGAACAGAAAGACAUAUAAAAGGCAGUGACCUUUGAGGAUGUGGCUGUGAACUUCACUACAGAGGAGUGGGCUUUGCUGGAUCCAUCCCAGAAGAAGCUCCACAGAGAUGUGAUGUGGGAAAACUUUAGGAAUGUGGCUGCUAUAGGAAGAAACUGGGAUGACCAGCAAAUUGAAGAUGAGUACAAAACUUACAGGAAAAAUUUAAGGUGAUUUUCACUCACAACACUGUUUCCCAAAGGUCAGAAAUGUUAAAACCAAGCAGACUGCAUGAAUGAGGCCAUGUUAAAAAAAAAAAAAAUACAGAGAGCCAGGCAUGGUGGCCAUGCCUAUAAUACCAGCACUUGGACAUCUGAUGCAGGAGGAUUGCCAGGAGUUUGAGGCCAGCCUGUGCUACAAAGUGCAGAGGUAGAUAAAUGCUCUCAAUAUAAAUUAUGGUAUCAAUAUGGAGAAAAAGUUUUUAUGACUUCCAGUAUAACUGUGCACUUGAAACUGCUUGGUAUAAAAGGUGAAAGCCUUGCAUGUGGAAAGCCUCUGAUUGGUCAUUCAUCACCAACCAUGCCCAUCAUACAUAAUGGUGGACUCAAAUCAUAUAAGCUCCAUGGAUUUGAACAGAAGCUGUCUAAUUGUAACAGACAUGAGAAAACCUCCACUGACUUUCAGUCCAUUCAGAAACAUGCAAAGACAAAUCCUGAAGAAAAAACAUAUGGAUAUAAGCAGUGUGGAAGAUCCUGCUCUGAUUGCACUGAAGGAAGUAACACUGAAGAGAAAUUCUUUGAAUGUAAGCAAGAUGUGAGAGCCUUCAGUACACCCAACUAUGUUCAAAUCCAGGAAAGAAAUCAUAGUAGCAUGAAUACCUAUAUAUGUAUACAACAUGGAAAAGAUUUGAAUUAUCACUAUGAUAUUCAGAAACAAAGUGCUCACACUGGAACAAAAUCCUAUGAACACUCUUGGAAAUCCAUAAAUAAUAACACUUCAUUUGGUAAUCAUUGCAUUCAAGUUCAUGAAAGAAUUCAUAUAAGAGGGAAGCCAUAUGUAUGCAAGCAAUAUGGGAAACACUUCCAUUUUUUCACUUACCAUGAAAAUCAUGAAGGGACUGCCACUGAAGAGAAAGCCUAUGUAAAUACUGUGUGAAAGGUUUUUAUGGUUCUUAUAACAUCAGAAAACAUGUACAAACUCAAAAUGAGAUUUAGUAUAAAUACCAAAUGUGAGAAAGCUUAAGAAUCAGAGUGACAGACAGGUGUUACACUGAUUGAAAGCACACAUGCAGAGGCAGUCUUCCUCCAAUAUAUCUAUGGAUUAAUAGGCUGAUGAGGUUGGAAAGUGCAUAAUGUUAAAUUCAGAGUAACAAAGCACCUUGCAUCCAAGUCUUCAACACAUGGCCUUUAAGGGACAUUUUACAUGCAAACCAUCGCCUUAGUUGUAUGGGUAAAAUUCAUUCAUACAAUGAUAUUUUAUUGAGUCUUAAAGGAAAUCCUCCAUUUGUGAAAAUGUAGAUCAAGAGGUUGUUAUUUGAAGUAUGCCACACAUAGAAAAAUUAAAGGUUUUUAACAUCUAAAGUUAACUUUAAAGAAGCAGAGAGUUUAGUGAUGGUUGCCAUGUGUGUAGGUGGGAAAGUUGAUAGAUGUUAAUGAGAAAGCACAGUGUUUCUCUUGUAGAGUACAAAAUGGCAUAGAUCCCAUAGUGAUUACAGUGAUUGAUGCUGUGCCACAUAGCAUUACAACUUGCUAAAAGUUGUUUUUAGUGAUUUCUCCAUAUAUCCAGAAGGUAAUUGUGUUAGAGAAUACAAGUACUACCAAGGACGAAUGUGGUAAUUUCACAAUAUGAACAGCAACAAAUUACACUGUAAAUGUUCAGUAUAUGAUUUUAUUAUUUCUUGAUGAAUACAAUUAAAUAUAGCAAAAAUUACAUGACUAUAAUUUCAUGCUGUGUCCACAGACUCCUUUAAUUUUUACAAAUGUAAUUUAGUUUGUACUGUUUUUAUUUCUGAAAGUAUUCAGUAUUUGUUGGUCCAAAGGUUGUGGGAUAUUGUUAAACUGAAAGUGUUCAGUAUUUCAGUGAAGUUUAUACUUGGAUCAUUGGAAAUGUAAAAUAGUUUCUUGAGGAUAUAAUUUGGAAACAAUUGACAUCAUGAGUUUAUUUCAUCCCAUUUUGACAGAAAGUAGUUAUAUAUAUGUUCUUUGUACAUUUUAAAAGCACUUAAGCUCGUAUGAUUUAAUUCACUUAACAUUGUUUUUAAGGUCUAUGCAUUGUCCUACAAAUGUCUUGAAUUUUUUCUUUAUAGCCAAGUAAUAUUCCAUUAUGUAUAGAUAUCAUAUUUUCUUCAUCUGUUAAUGAACAUAUAUGAGGAAACAAGAGAGAUAGCUUGUUGGCAAAUGGAAGGGAAUCAAGAAGCCAAGGAUAGGAAGAAGGGGAUAUAAAAAGAUUUAAUGCCAUGUACCAACUACACACAAUGAAUGCGGUCUUUAUGUGUUACAAACAUGAACUAAAAUGAUGAUGAUGAUGAUGAUGAUAUGAGGAAACAUGAUCUAGAGCCAGAUCAGAUGGUGGUGGAUGAGGAGGGGAAAGGAAAUCUUAAUCAAAAUGUUAAAUACAUAUGCCUGCUCUCUAAGUUGAAUGGACUUCAUGUACUUCAAACAUGUAUUAAUUAAAAUGCAUAAUACUUUAAUACUAGACCCUAUCUUAGUGCAUUGUAGUGGGCCAAAUCAAAAUACCACAGGAUUAUUCACCUUAUGAAAUAAUUAUUUCUCACAGUUGUGCAGCCUAGGAAAUCCAGCAUCAGAGCACUGGCAACUUCAAUAUCUCAUGAGAAAUUGUUUACCUAUGGUGACUUCUAACCAAAUUCUCAAAAGGCAGGGAGGUGUACAAGGUGCCUCAUGUCACAAAUUCCAGAGAGCCCACCUCCUCAACCAUCACUUUGGAAUUAGGUUCUAAAACAUGUAUUUUGGGAUAACUACACAUUCAGAACACAGAAAUCAUUAUAUGAAGUUAUAUUGUGUGUUGAACAAUAUAAUGGGUUGCAUGUGGCUUCAUGUGUCCUCCGGCAGUAUUAUGCUGAUAUACAGUACACACUUAGAAGUAAGCGAUCUUUUUCAAUUAGAAUUUACAAGAAAUAAUGCAAUUGUAGAUGUGAUAACUGAAUUAGGCACAGUUUUCCUGAAGGAAAGACAAGUUUGAUCACCAUUUAUUUUGAGAUCCUCAAAGUAAAUAUUAAAAGUAAAUGACAGGGAUUUUUGCGAGGCUCAUAAAAUAAUUUCCCAUGUUAUCAGUGCCAGCUGCUUCCUGAGUGGAUUAAGCUCCUAUCAGCAUAGCCAAAAAUUGUUACAGAGGACAGAAAAAGAAUGUUAAAAAUGAAGUUUCUGAGGUCAUCAGAGAAUCUGCAUAGAAUCUGCAGUGUGAUGUUAAAUUUUAAUUUCACAAAGUCAGGCCAGUGCAGUGUAUUUCCAAGUGCAAUUCAUUUCCCCAUUUACCACUUCUUUUCCAAAAAACAGGUGUUUCAGCAUGGUCACAUCACAUCACUUGGCUUGAAUAUCUGACUUCUAGCAAACCCACUCCAUUAACUUCCGCCAGUGAGUCCUGCAUUCUCUGAGUAAUGUAACCCUACUUGUCAUUUUCCACAUUCCCCCUAACACCUCACAGUUCAGUGUAGUAAUGUCUUCAUUGGCUUCUUCCUCUUUCAAUAUGGAAACAUUCCAUUAGAUUUCUAAGGGGCACAUUUCACAUCUGUGGCCUUUCAGGCCUAAUUUUUGUAAUAUGUAUGCUAAAGGCCAGAAUUAUUUCUUUAGAAAGCAUGUCAAAAUUUCAAGUCUGCAUUCGAUAACCUGUAAACAUAUACUUAGAACAUGAGUGCAUCCAAUAUGCAGGUCUUUGUCCAUGCAUUAUAUAUUCAACAUUCUAAGGACUUUUUGAGGUACAGUUCUGAUUGACUGGUUUUACUGAUAAAACACCUGAAGCUAGAGAAAUUUUAAAGUAUCACAAGUUCUCAUAGCUUGGGUCACUAUGAAGAAGCUAAAAUGUAUGUGUAUGGGUGUAAUUCUACCCUCUUCUGCCCUUAUUUUGUUUUUCUCUGACCUAUAUGCCAUGAAUCAUGAAUUCUUCCUCUGCUGCCUGGUCUUUUCCUCGGUCUUCUUUUAUUCUGCAAAGGAGAAUCUUUUGUGACUUGAUCUUACCAUGUCUAUAAUGUACUCAUUAUUAUGGAUCCAUAUGAGAUGCCUUGGUAGUGCCCAUCUGCUGGUUGAGUUGAAAUAUUACAAAAUAAAGGGAAGGUUCUGACUCA
Molecule: non-coding RNA, 5464 nt
Organism: Heterocephalus glaber (naked mole-rat)
Lineage: Eukaryota; Metazoa; Chordata; Mammalia; Rodentia; Bathyergidae
Source: RefSeq, a predicted model, not a curated record